RNAcentral lists this ribosomal RNA (495 nucleotides) under uncultured bacterium. RNAcentral describes it as "partial 16S ribosomal RNA". It matches the Rfam family "Bacterial small subunit ribosomal RNA", at positions 355 to 866 of the family's 1533-position model. The record is from RNAcentral.
UGGGGAAUAUUGCACAAUGGGCGAAAGCCUGAUGCAGCAACGCCGCGUGAGUGAUGAAGGUCUUCGGAUUGUAAAGCUCUGUCUUUUGGGACGAUAAUGACGGUACCAAAGGAGGAAGCCACGGCUAACUACGUGCCAGCAGCCGCGGUAAUACGUAGGUGGCGAGCGUUGUCCGGAUUUACUGGGCGUAAAGGGUGCGUAGGCGGAUGUUUAAGUGAGAUGUGAAAUACCCGGGCUUAACUUGGGUGCUGCAUUUCAAACUGGAUAUCUAGAGUGCAGGAGAGGAGAAUGGAAUUCCUAGUGUAGCGGUGAAAUGCGUAGAGAUUAGGAAGAACACCAGUGGCGAAGGCGAUUCUCUGGACUGUAACUGACGCUGAGGCACGAAAGCGUGGGUAGCAAACAGGAUUAGAUACCCUGGUAGUCCACGCCGUAAACGAUGAGUACUAGGUGUAGGAGGUAUCGACCCCUUCUGUGCCGCAGUAAACACAUUAAGUA